UUCCGGUUGAUCCUGCCGGACCCGACUGCUAUUUGGGUGAGAAUAAGCCAUGCGAGUCGAAUGGGAUACCUAAACUUCCCAUGGCAAACUGCUCAGUAACACAUGAUCAACUUAACCUAUAGAGAAAAAUAAUCUCGGGAAACUGAGGAUAAUGUUUCAUAGUUGAAUCGGCUUGGAAAAGUUUUUCAAUCAAAAGGAUAAGAAAAAUGGUUCUUAUUCGCUAUAGGAUAGGAUCGUGGACGAUUAUGGUUGUUGGUGAGGUAACGGCUCACCAAGCCGAUAAUCGAUAGGGGCCGUGAGAGCGGGAGCCCCGAGAUGGGUACUUAGACAACGACCCAGGCCUUACGAGGCGCAGCAGGCGCGGAACCUCCGCAAUACACGAAAGUGUGACGGGGUUACCCAAAGUGUUCAGUUUUGGACUGUGGUAGGUGAGUAAUGUUCCCUACUAGAAAGGAGAGGGCAAGGCUGGUGCCAGCCGCCGCGGUAAAACCAGCUCUUCAAGUGGUCGGGAUAAUUAUUGGGCUUAAAGUGUCCGUAGCCGGUUUAGUAAGUUCCUGGUAAAAUCGGGUAGCUUAACUAUCUAUAUGCUAGGAAUACUGCUAUACUAGAGGGCGGGAGAGGUCUGAGGUACUACAGGGGUAGGGGUGAAAUCUUAUAAUCCUUGUAGGACCACCAGUGGCGAAGGCGUCAGACUGGAACGCGCCUGACGGUGAGGGACGAAAGCCAGGGGAGCGAACCGGAUUAGAUACCCGGGUAGUCCUGGCCGUAAACGAUGCAUACUAGGUGAUGGUGUGGCCAUGAGCCGUAUCAGUGCCGUAGGGAAACCGUUAAGUGUGCCGCCCGGGAAGUACGGUCGCAAGGCUAAAACUUAAAGGAAUUGGCGGGGGAGCACCACAAGGGGUGAAGCCUGCGGUUCAAUUGGACUCAACGCCGGU
Molecule: ribosomal RNA, 935 nt
Filed under: uncultured archaeon
Lineage: Archaea
Description: bacterial SSU rRNA
Rfam family: Archaeal small subunit ribosomal RNA
Source: RNAcentral